AAGAAUAUUAUAGUGUCAAACUUUACUCCUAAGCCGUGGAAGAAAAAGUUACAGUGGAUAUUCCAAGCCACUGAAAUAUUUCAAUGGGAAUUUUAACGAGAGUAGAUUCUAUGUUCUUCACCCUGAUUUUCUUCGAUACAUUCGCAACAGAUUCAUGCCAUCCAAACAAAUGCAGGGCAAUUACUGGGCAAUGUACAGACCGACCAAUGGAGCGUUUGCUUUGUUCUUGGCUAUUCACACAUGUGACAUUGUGGAUGUCUAUGGAUUUAUUACAGAAGACCACCAUAAGUACUCCAACUAUUAUUAUGAAAAGUUAAAAAAAACCAGUGUAAUUUUCUUUAUUAACCAUGACUAUGGCCUGGAGAUAAAGACUUGGAAGGAACUGCAUGACUCUGGAAUCAUUAGACUCUUCCAAAGGCACUAACACAUCAAAAACAGAAGGAG
Sinocyclocheilus grahami is the source of this 444-nucleotide long non-coding RNA. RefSeq lists it as uncharacterized. NCBI's taxonomy places the organism in Eukaryota, Metazoa, Chordata, Actinopteri, Cypriniformes, Cyprinidae. The record is from RefSeq and is a predicted model, not a curated record. The transcript has 4 exons.